RNAcentral lists this ribosomal RNA (381 nucleotides) under uncultured eukaryote. Its description in RNAcentral is "partial 18S ribosomal RNA". It matches the Rfam family "Eukaryotic small subunit ribosomal RNA", at positions 592 to 976 of the family's 1831-position model. The record is from RNAcentral.
CAAUAGCGUAUAUUAAAGCUGUUGCGGUUAAAAAGCUCGUAGUUGGAUUUCUGUCAAGGACAACUGGUCCGCCCUCCGGGUGAGCACAUAGUUUGGUCUUGACAUCUUGCUGGAAGCUGUUGCUGCACUUGGCUGUGUGGCGCAGUGUUCAGCACUUUCACUUUGAGGAAAUUGGAGUGUUUCAAGCAGGCACAUGCCUUUGGACACAGUAGCAUGGAAUAAUUAGAUUGAGCUUUUGCUCCAAUUUGUCGGUUUCUGGAGCUGAGGUGAGUAUUAAUGGGGAUUGUUGGGGGCAUCCGAAUUUAGCCGUCAGAGGUGAAAUUCUUGGAUCUGCUAAAGACGGACAACUGCGAAAGCGUUUGCCCAGGAUGUUUUCAUUGA